This 233-nucleotide long non-coding RNA is filed under the name Lathyrus oleraceus (garden pea). RNAcentral describes it as "Pisum sativum (pea) long non-coding RNA (PSAT_LNC017919)". The record is from RNAcentral. Lineage: Eukaryota; Viridiplantae; Streptophyta; Magnoliopsida; Fabales; Fabaceae.
UUAAUUCAAAAAUUUAAUAGGUGGUACAAAGAUGCAUCUCUAGACGCGUUUCAUACAUUAACCAACGCCAAAACAUUCUCUAUUCCUCCUUCAUUUGUCUCAAAACUCACUAAAACAAAAAAAAAACCGAUGCUUUUCCUCAAAAAUCCAAACUUCUCAACCAAUCAAGCUUCUCACUGUAUUGUAUUUCAGUUGCGCAAAAGUUUAUCACUACAUUCAAGCUUCUCUUCCAC